CUUACACAUGCAAGUCGAGCGGUAACAUUUCUAGCUUGCUAGAAGAUGACGAGCGGCGGACGGGUGAGUAACGCGUAGGAAUCUGCCUAGUAGCGGGGGACAACAUGUGGAAACGCAUGCUAAUACCGCAUACGCCCUACGGGGGAAAGGAGGGGAUCUUCGGACCUUUCGCUAUUAGAUGAGCCUGCGUGAGAUUAGCUAGUUGGUGGGGUAAAGGCCUACCAAGGCGACGAUCUCUAGCUGGUCUGAGAGGAUGAUCAGCCACACUGGGACUGAGACACGGCCCAGACUCCUACGGGAGGCAGCAGUGGGGAAUAUUGGACAAUGGGCGCAAGCCUGAUCCAGCCAUGCCGCGUGUGUGAAGAAGGCCUUAGGGUUGUAAAGCACUUUCAGGAGUGAGGAAGGGUGUACGGUUAAUACCCGUAUAUUUUGACGUUAACUCCAGAAGAAGCAUCGGCUAACUCUGUGCCAGCAGCCGCGGUAAUACAGAGGGUGCGAGCGUUAAUCGGAAUUACUGGGCGUAAAGCGCGCGUAGGCGGUUUGUUAAGUCGGAUGUGAAAUC
This 562-nucleotide ribosomal RNA is filed under the name uncultured bacterium. Its description in RNAcentral is "bacterial SSU rRNA". It matches the Rfam family "Bacterial small subunit ribosomal RNA", at positions 48 to 601 of the family's 1533-position model. The record is from RNAcentral.